CCUUGAUAGAACUUAUGUGUUGUGAUGAAAUCCUUAGAACUAUAAGAUAUUGAUAAAGAAAGAUUUAUCGAAUAGUUCUUAAAUAUAUUCAUAACCAAAUGAUACGUCAUUAAAGGAUGAUGACGUUUUAUCGAGUGUAGGUCAUUGUGUGUCAUAUAGGUUGGUUGUCCUCUUAACCAAGAAGUGUGGGGACAUUGGUAUGGUAUACAAGU
Molecule: long non-coding RNA, 212 nt
Filed under: Elaeis guineensis (African oil palm)
Lineage: Eukaryota; Viridiplantae; Streptophyta; Magnoliopsida; Arecales; Arecaceae
Description: long non-coding RNA (EGUI_LNC043494)
Source: RNAcentral